UGGGGAAUUUUGGACAAUGGGCGAAAGCCUGAUCCAGCAAUGCCGCGUGUGUGAAGAAGGCCUUCGGGUUGUAAAGCACUUUUGUCCGGAAAGAAAUCCUUGGCUCUAAUACAGUCGGGGGAUGACGGUACCGGAAGAAUAAGCACCGGCUAACUACGUGCCAGCAGCCGCGGUAAUACGUAGGGUGCAAGCGUUAAUCGGAAUUACUGGGCGUAAAGCGUGCGCAGGCGGUUUGCUAAGACCGAUGUGAAAUCCCCGGGCUCAACCUGGGAACUGCAUUGGUGACUGGCAGGCUAGAGUAUGGCAGAGGGGGGUAGAAUUCCACGUGUANCAGUGAAAUGCGUAGAGAUGUGGAGGAAUACCGAUGGCGAAGGCAGCCCCCUGGGCCAAUACUGACGCUCAUGCACGAAAGCGUGGGGAGCAAAACAGGAUUAGAUACCCUGGUAGUCCACGCCCUAAAACGAUGUCAACUAGUUGUUGGGGAUUCAUUUCCUUAGUAACGUAGCUAACGCGUGAAGUUGACCGCCUGGGGAGUACGGUCGCAAGAUUAAAACUCAAAGGAAUUGACGGGGUCAUAGCUGUUUCCU
RNAcentral lists this ribosomal RNA (587 nucleotides) under uncultured bacterium. RNAcentral describes it as "partial 16S ribosomal RNA". It matches the Rfam family "Bacterial small subunit ribosomal RNA", at positions 355 to 1375 of the family's 1533-position model. The record is from RNAcentral.